Long non-coding RNA from Pogoniulus pusillus (Red-fronted tinkerbird), 419 nucleotides. RefSeq lists it as uncharacterized. The record is from RefSeq and is a predicted model, not a curated record. NCBI's taxonomy places the organism in Eukaryota, Metazoa, Chordata, Aves, Piciformes, Lybiidae. The transcript has 3 exons.
CGUGUGGAAAUGGAGCAAAGAGACAUUCCCAUUGUUUUUGGCCAUCCACAAAGUAGUGACAACGUAUGAAACUGCAGGAGAGCCCAAAAAAUUGCAUAUGACACUCAAAAACAGUGACUACACUGCUGUGCCAGUAUAGAAUCUGUCUUCACCACGACCCCAAAUUAUCCCUUUGAACUUAUUUCGCUUAUUUGAAAGAAGAAUUUGGUGUUUCAUAAAUUUGGCAUUAGAAGUGAUUCAUCAAACAAACAUUUAACUGCUUCCAUUUGACAACAGUGGUCUGGUUACCUCCUACAGGUACUAGUUAUUAUCUGUGUAAUGUUUCCACGACCAUGUGAAGAACCAAUUGUUAUUGGUGGUCAGGAGUGGCCAGAGUUCUGAAUAUCAAAAUUAAUAAACAAAAUUCAUUUUGGAAAAAA